This is a long non-coding RNA of Gavialis gangeticus (Gharial), 2114 nucleotides long. RefSeq lists it as uncharacterized. The record is from RefSeq and is a predicted model, not a curated record. NCBI's taxonomy places the organism in Eukaryota, Metazoa, Chordata, Crocodylia, Gavialidae. The transcript has 3 exons.
CGUCAAGCUUGGCUGCUUAAGGGAUUCCAGCUCCUCCGAAGAAAGACGAGGUGGGGAGGUGGCCGAAUGCUAGGAAGCUUCAGGACUUGAAAAGCACGGCUGAGGAUAACAAUACAGUUGGAAGCCCGCGAAGCCGGGGGCUGGAUCACUCUGGUGGCUGCUUUGUCCUCUUGUUCGCGCCAGAUCUGGGAUUAAACUGCAUCAUGCCACAGAUCCACCCACCAGUCCCCCCCCAGCACUCGGACCAGACAUCUCGAUUCCAGGAUGCUCAGGCAAUCAAGUGAGGGGGAGCUGAUCUCCCAGCUGAGAGGUGCUCUGGGGAAAGAUGGCGUUUUGCCAUAUCCCUGCCAGGAAAUCCAGUUCCUGAGCAGAUGGUUCAGCUCGACCCCGCCAGGUAGCUCGGAGUUCAUUAGCAGGCCCUAGAUGCUGCAGUUUAUAGUCUGAAGCUUCCCAGCACCCGUCCGAGGACUGUGGCUGGCUAUCAAAAGAGGAGAUGGGUUUAUAAUCAAGAACAUCUUUCAUCGUUAAUCUCCUGAUCCUGAUCUGGUUUGUGUAUAUUAUCCCAGGUCCAUGCACUAACAAUCCUUCCAUGUAUUUGUUGGCCUCACACCCCUACAAACCAGCAGUGUCCCUCCCUUGUGCAGGUGGAGAAGUGAGAUCCAGGCAGAUUAAGUGACUUGCCUGAGGUCACACAGGAAGUAAGUGGCAGAGCUGGGAAACAAACCUGGGUGCCCGGGCCUCUCCUGUGUAUGGAGCCAUCACUCAGGUCCUUUGAGCUGGGCCUCUUCCUCGCAAUGCCUGACUCCAUCACUGUAAAGGUCGGUCUCUCCGCUGCGGAGGUUAAUCAGUGCGGCACUAAGCACUUUGACGAGCUGGUUAGCUGCAGCUGGAGCCUGUUAACCAGCCUGCCUGUUUGGCUGUGGGCUGUAUUUAAGGUCAAACAGCCGCUUUUUGGUUUCAGCGUGCUAGGCCUGGUUUCUGCCUGUCUCUCGAAUGCAGAUGCUUCAUCUGUGGGAUAGCAAGCUCUUCAGGGCAGAAACAGAGCUCAGUCAGUGUUUGUACACCUCCUGGAGCUGCAGGACCCCAAUCUGAUUUGCACAGAGCUGAAGGCCAGAGCAUCUUAUCUGAGCAGCUUGCUUUUGCCAUGCGAAGGAAAGUAACACUUCUGCUCUGCAACCCAGUCAGCUGCCUCUGCUAAGGAAAAGAAACUGCUGAAGAUCUUUCUAGCCACCUGCUUCUGGCUGGAGACAAAUUUCAAAUGCCGGUCACCCACGUCUGGCAGUGAUAGAGGAGGGUAGAUAUAUUGUCUUUACUAAUAGGUGUGUUGUUCAGAAGAAUUCCUCUUUGCAGUUGACCAUUGCAUUCAAAAGUCUUUAAAUAUAAAGUGCAUGAUGUUCUUUGGCUAAAUCAAUAUAGUGGGUGGUGAUCCGUCUCCUCGCAGAGCUAUGACCAGCAGCUGGAGAAGGGUUUUUUUUUUCUUUUAGAUAUUUUCCAACUUUUUUUUUUAAUUUCAAAAAGUAGAUUUGACAAGAGCAUCCUUUCAACCAAUAAACAGAAUCACAUCCCAAAUAUAGUGGCAGGGGUGAGGAAAGCAGGAAAAUCCCCAGUCAGAACUAGAGGUUUCCUGACUAUAAAUAUUCAAUAACCUCCCAGCCAGGGACUGCAUUCCCCCUUCUUUCAUUUGUCUGGGGCUUGCUAAAUACGUCUAUGACAUGCUAUUUAUUUCGGGAUGCAGCGAUCCUGGCAUGCCUCCUGUUUCACAACUAGAUCACUACCACUCUGUGUGUUGAGUAAAGCCGGGCUCUUCACGCAUGAAGCCACCUUUAGUUUUUAUUCUCCCAUUUUUCUCUCCAUUCAAUUUAGGCUUCAUUUACACCCAUAGAAUCCUAUCAAAAAAGCCAGAGUUGAAUGGAGGUGCACAGUGCUGCCUAUGUGGACAAAUACUGGGUGUUGCAACUGGAGUGCGAAGGGGAGAUGGAUGCGAUGAAUGCGUUGGCUUGGUCUUGACUGAAAUCGUCUAUUAAGUAUCUCCAUGAAUGAGCACUGAUAGGUAAUUGUGAAAGGAAAGAAGAAUAAUUUAGCCUUAGAAUGACUUAUCCCUGAUUUCCCAGGAA